This 403-nucleotide ribosomal RNA is filed under the name uncultured bacterium. RNAcentral's name for it is "partial 16S ribosomal RNA". It matches the Rfam family "Bacterial small subunit ribosomal RNA", at positions 28 to 526 of the family's 1533-position model. The record is from RNAcentral.
GACGAACGCUGGCGGCGUGCUUAACACAUGCAAGUCGAACGAGUGGCGAACGGGUGAGUAAUGUAUGGGGCCCGCCCCAUAGAGGGGGAUAACUACUGGAAACGGUGGCUAAUAAUGAAUCCUGUCGGAUAACCCAUAUGGGAUUAGCUGGUAGGUAAGGUCAUGGCUUACCUAGGCGACGAUCCCUAGCUGGGCGGAGAGGAUGACCAGCCACACUGGGACUGGGCCACGGCCCAGACGCCUACGGAGGGAGCAGUGGGGAAGAUUGCACAAUGGGCGAGAGCCUGAUGCAGCCAUGCCGAGUGUAUGAAGAAGGCCCUAGGGUUGUAAAGUACUUUCAGUCGGGAGGCGUUACCGACAGAAGAAGCACCGGCUAACUCCGUGCCAGCAGCCGCGGUAAUAC